Molecule: long non-coding RNA, 20565 nt
Filed under: Capsicum annuum
Lineage: Eukaryota; Viridiplantae; Streptophyta; Magnoliopsida; Solanales; Solanaceae
Description: long non-coding RNA (CANN_LNC003962)
Source: RNAcentral
GAACAUUUGUUAUUAUAUGUUAUGAGAUUAAAAUUAUCGAAUAUUUAUAUAUUUGUACAUGAAUAAGUCUCUAAAUUAAAACUCUGUAUGUUGAUACUAUUAAAUUUAAAAUGGGGACACAAAGGAAAAAAGUGAAACAAAAAAAAAAUAGAUUCUAUUUCUCACAUGCACACACCAGAACAUGAAUACCUUACAAACUGCACACAUCACUCACAGAUAUAGCAAUUCACGCGCAUGAAAAUAAAAUACAUGCAUACAAAAAAUGAGAUUGGAAUAAAAAAUCAAUAAAAAUAGAAUAGUUGGGAACGGAAAAAAAAUCAGUGAAAACAGAAACGAGAGGGAGAUGAAAAAUUAUUUAAAGGAUAAAAGGAAAAUUGUCAAUCUUUCUUUGAAUUUUUCGGCGAAUUUUCUCGCCGGAAAUACAUCAAAAAAUUCACCAUUGUCUGAAUUCAUUCUAUUUUAUCAAAAUUCGACCCUUAUGGUCGGUUCCGGCGAAUCAACUCGCUGGAAAAACUUCGCCGGCCCUGCGUCGUCACACCCCUCCCCAGAUCUAGUCAGAAUCUUUUCCAUCGACGAAAAACCGCCGCUGCCGUCCCCUCUCCCGUCCCCAUUCAUCGAUGUAACCCAAAACCAGCGUAAUUCCGCCAGUAACCCCUGAACCGGCGGAAAAUCACCAAAUCUGUUGUGACUCAUCGAUCUCCUUCCUUCUCCCUUUUCCAGCGAUCUCCAUUGCUGCCAUAAAUAUUGUAAAAAAAUAAAAUAAAUUUUUUUAUUUUUUUUUCUUUUGGAAUACUGAAUGUACGUAGAAGAGAAGAUAUCUUUAUAUUUCUUUUAUUAUUGUUUCCUUUUAGGAUAAAUACCCAUGUCCCUAUGUUUGCGUAUAAUAUAAAAUUAUUUUAUUUAAUAAUUAGUAAAAAAUAAAGUAUGAAUAAAUUUGAUACUAAUAAAGUUUAUUAUUUAUUUUUUGAAAUUUCGUGUGUGAUUUGUCUUAUAAUAUAUAAUUUGAGUUUAUUUAAUUUAAAAUGAUUAUUUUUACAAAAAAAAAUUAUUAUUAUAAUAUAUGUAGAUUUGUAUAUUUUAUUAACAAAAUUUAAUAAUUAUUUAUUUAAUUAAUUAUGUUAAAUGAAUUUUGCUUUAAUUUAUUAUUACGGGUUUAGAUAAAUUUUAUACGCGUUUUAAACAUUCGUCUCAAUUAAGAAUGUGGCAUACGUAUCUUUUGAAACAUUUAAAAUUUAAGGAUGCAAUAAUGCACCUUGAUAAACAAUUUUUCUAAAAUUAUUUUUUUCGUUGAUUUAUUUAAUAUAAGAUAAUAGACAAGUUUUUUUCGGUAUAGUAAAAUAAGCAAAUUUAGGCCUUAACACAAUUUAUUGAAAUAGUUUUAGUUAAGUACAAGUCAAUAGAAGCGACUGUGCUAGAACCGCGGGACUCGAGGGGUGCCUAACACCUUUACUUCGGUCAAUAGAAUUCCUUACCCGGUCUUCUGUUUUCACAAACCAAAUAAAAGAGUCAUUUCCUUUUGACUAGGGAUUCAAAAAGGUGACUUGGAACACCAUUACUCAAUUCCAAGUGGCGACUCUGUAAAUAAAAUAAUCCCUAUUCAAAACCAUCACUUGAAUUGAAAAAACACUUCAACCUCGACCCUCGAGCCAAAAAGGGGUGUGACAUCUCUGGCGACUCUGUUGGGGAAUAAUAAGAAUUCAAACUUUUUAUAUUGACUUAUACUUGCUUUAAUUAUUGUUGAUAUUGUGUUUGUUGGCCUUACGUCCUACUUAUCGCUUAUUUACCGCUUUGAUAUUGAUUGAACUGUAUUAUAUACUGUCUUCUCUUGCGCACCCCCUCUGAGUCUCUGAACUAGGAUAGAAGGAAUGCAACGCAUGCAUCCUACUUUCUUUUUGAGAUAGCCGGAGUGUCAAGACACCUGGUGAAGGAUUAUAGUCACACAUGUUAGGCGGGGCUCGGAUCGACAACAAAGGCAGUGUUGCCCUGAUACUGACCAAGUUGUCCCUCCCCGGCUCGAGUGUCCGCUCGGGUAAGCCAGUCUAGACACCUAUCUCUAUUAGGCUUAAUCCUAGAAGAACUAAAAACUCAGAAUCUGGUUAUCCCUAUUAGGUGCCGCUUUAUUUGCAUCAUAUGCAUUUGACUUAGCGGAACUUGGUGCAGGGGUUGGGUCUGUCUAGGACAGGUGACCUACUUUAUAAAGACCAACAUGUGCAUCCUUCGUGCUCUUUGACAUUUGUUUGGAAGGUUGUUUGUUUGUUGACCGGCUUUGGGCAACUUUAAAAUCCAAGAGAUUAAAUUAUCCUCACAUUUAGUGAAUCAUUUUUUUAUCUUUUUUUUAAAAAAGGAAAAUUUUAUUUUUAAAAGAAAGAAAAUUUUUUAGUAAUAUAGUUUUAUGGUCUUCAUGAACUACAAUGGUCUGAUUCUCACUCUUUAGUGGGAUACGUAGGAAGUCCUUCUCAGGAUACGACCCUAUCUUUUGAAAAUUAUUCAUAGACUUAUUGGGGAAUAUUUUGAAAAUAUAAUUACUUUCAUAAUUAUUUUUCUAAUUCUCAAGUCUAAUUUAUAUAUAUUUUAAUAGCCCUGAAUCUUUAGGGAUCAUGAGGCUAAGUUUUUACAAAAUAAAUAAUAUAUAUAAAUCAUAAUAGCCUGAACCUUUAGGAGUCGUGAGCUGAAUUUUUGUAAAAUAAUAAAAUAUGUAAACAUAUAUUUUAACAGUCCUGAACCUUUAGAGGUCGUGAGGCUGAAAUUUUUAUACAACUUCAUACAUAAAACAAUCAUUCUUCUUUUCUUUAUUUCUAAAUCAUUUUAUUUGAUUUUUGUUCUUUUUAAAUGUACUUAGGGGGUAUUGUCUCUAAACAUAUAGUUAAAAUUCUCUGGAGGUCUGUUAUUGCAAAAUUUUUGAUUGAGUCAACUUAAAUAAGUAUUUUUCCUAAAAAUAUUAUCAUUCAUGUUUCUCUCACUUUGAUUUUUAAUAAAAUAGUUCUUUACAUCUAGGUCUUAAUUUAAUGAUCGCACUAGUUCUCACGAGUCAAGUUAAAACUUCUUUUCAAAAAUUAAUGAAUUAAGUCCUGCCUAAGUCUAGACAUUUAUUAAUCUCAUGUCCUUAUCAAUAGGUAUAAAAUGUCUCCUCCUGUUCAAGGAAAAUGUCCAAGAGAAAGAGGGAUGGGAGUGUACCGCUUCAGGUUGUAGAUUGUACCCCUUUGUAGCUUUGGUUGUGGUGGAACGAAAUGGAUACAUUCGAUUAUGACGAGAUACAUUAGUAUUUGAGUUUUUUGACGAGUAUUAUGUCAAUCAAGCCUAAUAGGGAGGUGAUUGAUGCAUUACUAAUCUUUUGGGACCCGAAGAACAAUGUGUUUCGCUUUUAGGAUUUUGAGUUGACUUUGACUUCAGAGGAGAUAGCGACCUAUGUUGGAUAUGGGGAUAUGCAUUGGAAGAAACUUAUAGCCCCAAGACUCAUUUCGAUAAACAGAUUCUGCAAGCUCAUGAACAUACGAAACUCAAAAGAAGAAUCAAUGAAAAAAGGUUGGGUUUUCUUGCAGUUUUUGUAUGACAGAUAUGGAAGACAAUAGGGGUUUGAAAAGUACGGUAAAUAGCUUUAUAAUAAAGAAAGUUUUGAGGCUUGUAAAGUUCACAGAGGAUUUGCAUUCAUGGUAGCCUUUCUAGGCACUAUGGUUUUCCCGAGGAGAGAAGAAAAAAUUAAUAUUCGUUUAACGGGGGUGGUACAGAUACUGAUUAAAAAAGAUUACACUGUGGUACCAAUGAUCCUGGUAGAUAUCUACCGAGCUUUGACCGUUUGUCAGAAAGGAAAGAGUUUUUUUUAGGGAUGUAAUAUCUUAUUAUAGAUGUAGAUUGUGGAGCAUAUUUACCGACGUCCUACAAUGGCAAGGUUUAAUCCUGAAUGAUUUAAUCGCAUCAAAGAUUACGAAGAGAGGAUAGAGAAAUAUAAAUGCCCAGAAGGAGUUAGAGAUUAGGAUAAGCUUUUUCGCUCUCUGAUAGCAGAUAAAAUCACUUAGAAUCUCCCUUGGUUCCCUUGGAGGCAAGUCAUACACAGUUCUGUCAUUCGACCGUUGUUAUUAUUAAUGGGUAUUAGGGGUGUUCAACCGUAUGUUUCAUUGAGAGUUUUACGUCGGCUAGGAAGACGUCAAAUAAUUUCCAUUAUGGAAAAUAUGACCGAGUUUGUAUUUGAGGUCAAACCAGAGAUCCCACUUCCAGAGAAAUUGGCCCAGUAGAUUUGGGAGGGUUGCCGUAUCAUGGGGAUUGAAAUGAUGGUCAUAGAGCGUGAGAAAGGAGAAGUGCACCCUGAUUAUCGUGAAUGGUUUGAAGAAUAAUUGAGUCCGCCAGUCAGACCAGAAAGAUCGGUUAGGGGAACUAUAGAUUAGGAAGCUGCAAUCAGGAUAGGAAUUGAGAGAGCCAUGCGAGAACAUCAUGAGGCCAACCAAGCUUUGAGAGAGAAAUUAGAGCAUGCCAGGGCAAAAAUAGACGAACAACAAAGGGAAUUUGCUGAAGAGAAAGCUAAAUCAGUAGAUAUUGAGGUUGCACUUCGGGGACAAAUCAAACUGGCUACCGCUAGGGGGUCACACGUUGCAGAACUUGCCGCAUCUCGCCGACAGCAACUGCAAGAAGUUGAAAAGAAUAUACAAGAAGAAUUUGAUCGAGAGAGAUCUCAAUGGAUCCGUGAAAAAGGAUUAUUGCGAGAACAGUUGGAGUUUGUUUCUACUCGUGAACAGCGUGCAAGAGAGAUGGUUGAUUUCUGAGAUCGACAAGCCCAUGAAUGGGAUCAGGCCUUCAGUUCCCUUUGAGGAAAGGUCCAUCGUGUAGUACAGGAUACUGCCAGAAUGGGUUUGGAUUAUCAUCAGUUGGAUCGUGAAGACUUUUUGGCUCAAGUUCCAGCUUUUGCACAACGUCUCACUACUUUAUUGGAGGACAUAUAUUUGAGUUUGGGAGGACAUAUUAAGCCGAAGUCUCCUUAAAUGGAUAGUUGUUUUCUUUGUCAUAGUUUUUCAUUUUCAGUUUUAAAACUUCUUGUUUAGAUGUUAUGUCUUUUAGUUUUAUUUGUCAGAUGUCAGUUAGUAGAUUUUAUUUUAGGAGUUAGGUCAGUUAUUUUGUUGUAUUUAUAUUAUGAAAUGUAAUGAAGUUGACUGUUUAUUUCUAUAUAAAUUACAUAUGUUUUACUUUACUUACCUUAUUUAAUUUCUUCAAUAAAAAAAAGACAAAACAAUCAUUUUGUUAAAUUCCUCCCGAACUACGCAAGAUCUGAUUCAUAUACUGGCAUGAUACGUAGACAACCCUCCAAAGAGUUCGAUCAUAACUUUUGAAAAAGCAUGCCUGGAAAAGCCAGGAUGAAACACAAAGCCUUCCAUGAUCGGUUGAAAAAUGCAUAUAGAAGCAUGAUAUACAACGUGGCGUUAUAAUGUGUUGAAUAUAUAACACUUACUUGUUUGCUACUUGAUAUAGAAAGAUAAAGUAAUUGGUGGUUGGUUUGUGGUUUAAACCGAUAUCACAUUCGUACAAUACCAGAUAUAAGGGAAAAAGAAAAAUGACCCACAGAGAAGGUAUAGGGUCUGACAGUGAAGAAGAUCAAAAUCAGUUGAUUUCACAGGAAGUAGCAUCAAUGGAAGAACUUCAGUUAUUGAAACAACAGAUGACAGAGAUGUACUAAGCUUGUUUGAAUGGACAAGCCCCGUCUUCUUCAAUACCUGAACUUUCUACUUCGAAUGAUCCAAAUCCUGUUCCAGCUCAAACUAGUGAUCCAUUUUACCCACCAGGAUUCGGCCCUUUUGCUAAUAUGUCUGGUGUUGCUGGUACUUCUACCAUACGCCCACCAAUCCGUCUGUCACAAAUAACCCAUUUUUUACUUUUAUAGCACUAGCUACUGCAAGUACUCAACCGACAGUACCAAAGAAUAUGAGGUAACCAAGUCAUGAUCUGUUGUAUCCUCCUGAAAUGACUUUCAAAUUCCAAAAUCCACAUUAUCAUGCAUAUCAACAUGAUUCUCCAAUCAUGAUUGAGAAGAUUGUUAAAAAUGAGGAACAAGAGGAAAUAGCUAGGAAAGUAAGAAGCUUGAAGCAGAGUAUGAGAAGUAUGCAAGGAUUAGGUGGACCAAAAAUUGUUUCAUACAAAGAUUUAUGUAUGUUUUCGGACGUCCAUUUUCUUCUAGGGUUCAAAAUGCCAAAGUUUGAGAAAUACGAAGGUCAUGGCGAUCCUGUAGCCCAUUUGAAGAAGUUCUGCAAUCAAUUAAGAGGAGUAGGAGGAAAAGAAGAACUAUUGAUGGCUUACUUUGGAGAAAUCCUAACAAGAAUAGCUUCUGAAUGGUUUAUUGACCAAGACAUUUCUCGUUGGCACGUAUGGGAUGACAUGGCUCGAGAUUUUGUUCAAUAAUUUCAAUAUAACAUUGAGAUAAUGCCAAAUCGCACUACGCUUGCUAACAUGAGAAAAAAGAUGACUGAAAAUUUUUGAGAAUAUGCUAUCAGAUGGAGAGAGCAGGCUUCAAGAGUCAGAACAUUGAUAAAGGAAUCUAAAAUUAUCGAUAUCUUUUUGCAAGCUCAAGAACCCAAUUAUUUCCAUCACUUAAUUUCUACUAUUGGAAGCACAUUUACUGAAGUUAUUAAGGUUGGAGAUAUGGUAGAGAAUGGAAUAAAGUCAUGAAAUUUUAUCAGCCAGGCCGCUUUGAAAGCAACAACGCAGGCAAUUCAAAGUGUUGCCGGAAGUUUCGGGGGGAAGAAAAGAAAAGAGGACGUAGCAACUAUCGUACCAGGUCCACGACAAAAUUGGAGAGGUGCGCGUCAACCAUAUGCAUAAAAUACAUUAUAUUUCAUUCAAUCCCCCUAAUAUCCUAUUUCCAAUGCACAACCAUAUGCUCAGGAUCCUUCUUACCCGCAAUGGCAUGCACCAGCUAUCCAAAAUCAUCCACUGAUCCCGCAAAUUCAAAGAGGACCUCCUAGAUCUAAUUUUAGACCUAGAGUAGAAUACAAAAGGGAUAACAUGGGCAAAGAUAAUUUCACUCCUAUUGGAAUAUCUUACACAGAGGAGAUAGCGACCUAUGUUGGAUAUGGGGAUAUGCAUUGGAAGAAACUUAUAGCCCCAAGACUCAUUUCGAUAAACAGAUUCUGCAAGCUCAUGAACAUACGAAACUCAAAAGAAGAAUCAAUGAAAAAAGGUUGGGUUUUCUUGCAGUUUUUGUAUGACAGAUAUGGAAGACAAUAGGGGUUUGAAAAGUACGGUAAAUAGCUUUAUAAUAAAGAAAGUUUUGAGGCUUUUAAAGGUCUCAGGGGAUUUGCAUUCAUGGUAGCCUUUCUAGGCACUAUGGUUUUCCCGAGGAGAGAAGAAAAAAUUAAUAUUCGUUUAACGGGGGUGGUACAGAUACUGAUUAAAAAAGAUUACACUGUGGUACCAAUGAUCCUGGUAGAUAUCUACCGAGCUUUGACCGUUUGUCAGAAAGGAAAGAGUUUUUUUUAGGGAUGUAAUAUCUUAUUAUAGAUGUAGAUUGUGGAGCAUAUUUACCGACGUCCUACAAUGGCAAGGUUUAAUCCUGAAUGAUUUAAUCGCAUCAAAGAUUACGAAGAGAGGAUAGAGAAAUAUAAAUGCCCAGAAGGAGUUAGAGAUUAGGAUAAGCUUUUUCGCUCUCUGAUAGCAGAUAAAAUCACUUAGAAUCUCCCUUGGUUCCCUUGGAGGCAAGUCAUACACAGUUCUGUCAUUCGACCGUUGUUAUUAUUAAUGGGUAUUAGGGGUGUUCAACCGUAUGUUUCAUUGAGAGUUUUACGUCGGCUAGGAAGACGUCAAAUAAUUUCCAUUAUGGAAAAUAUGACCGAGUUUGUAUUUGAGGUCAAACCAGAGAUCCCACUUCCAGAGAAAUUGGCCCAGUAGAUUUGGGAGGGUUGCCGUAUCAUGGGGAUUGAAAUGAUGGUCAUAGAGCGUGAGAAAGGAGAAGUGCACCCUGAUUAUCGUGAAUGGUUUGAAGAAUAAUUGAGUCCGCCAGUCAGACCAGAAAGAUCGGUUAGGGGAACUAUAGAUUAGGAAGCUGCAAUCAGGAUAGGAAUUGAGAGAGCCAUGCGAGAACAUCAUGAGGCCAACCAAGCUUUGAGAGAGAAAUUAGAGCAUGCCAGGGCAAAAAUAGACGAACAACAAAGGGAAUUUGCUGAAGAGAAAGCUAAAUCAGUAGAUAUUGAGGUUGCACUUCGGGGACAAAUCAAACUGGCUACCGCUAGGGGGUCACACGUUGCAGAACUUGCCGCAUCUCGCCGACAGCAACUGCAAGAAGUUGAAAAGAAUAUACAAGAAGAAUUUGAUCGAGAGAGAUCUCAAUGGAUCCGUGAAAAAGGAUUAUUGCGAGAACAGUUGGAGUUUGUUUCUACUCGUGAACAGCGUGCAAGAGAGAUGGUUGAUUUCUGAGAUCGACAAGCCCAUGAAUGGGAUCAGGCCUUCAGUUCCCUUUGAGGAAAGGUCCAUCGUGUAGUACAGGAUACUGCCAGAAUGGGUUUGGAUUAUCAUCAGUUGGAUCGUGAAGACUUUUUGGCUCAAGUUCCAGCUUUUGCACAACGUCUCACUACUUUAUUGGAGGACAUAUAUUUGAGUUUGGGAGGACAUAUUAAGCCGAAGUCUCCUUAAAUGGAUAGUUGUUUUCUUUGUCAUAGUUUUUCAUUUUCAGUUUUAAAACUUCUUGUUUAGAUGUUAUGUCUUUUAGUUUUAUUUGUCAGAUGUCAGUUAGUAGAUUUUAUUUUAGGAGUUAGGUCAGUUAUUUUGUUGUAUUUAUAUUAUGAAAUGUAAUGAAGUUGACUGUUUAUUUCUAUAUAAAUUACAUAUGUUUUACUUUACUUACCUUAUUUAAUUUCUUCAAUAAAAAAAAGACAAAACAAUCAUUUUGUUAAAUUCCUCCCGAACUACGCAAGAUCUGAUUCAUAUACUGGCAUGAUACGUAGACAACCCUCCAAAGAGUUCGAUCAUAACUUUUGAAAAAGCAUGCCUGGAAAAGCCAGGAUGAAACACAAAGCCUUCCAUGAUCGGUUGAAAAAUGCAUAUAGAAGCAUGAUAUACAACGUGGCGUUAUAAUGUGUUGAAUAUAUAACACUUACUUGUUUGCUACUUGAUAUAGAAAGAUAAAGUAAUUGGUGGUUGGUUUGUGGUUUAAACCGAUAUCACAUUCGUACAAUACCAGAUAUAAGGGAAAAAGAAAAAUGACCCACAGAGAAGGUAUAGGGUCUGACAGUGAAGAAGAUCAAAAUCAGUUGAUUUCACAGGAAGUAGCAUCAAUGGAAGAACUUCAGUUAUUGAAACAACAGAUGACAGAGAUGUACUAAGCUUGUUUGAAUGGACAAGCCCCGUCUUCUUCAAUACCUGAACUUUCUACUUCGAAUGAUCCAAAUCCUGUUCCAGCUCAAACUAGUGAUCCAUUUUACCCACCAGGAUUCGGCCCUUUUGCUAAUAUGUCUGGUGUUGCUGGUACUUCUACCAUACGCCCACCAAUCCGUCUGUCACAAAUAACCCAUUUUUUACUUUUAUAGCACUAGCUACUGCAAGUACUCAACCGACAGUACCAAAGAAUAUGAGGUAACCAAGUCAUGAUCUGUUGUAUCCUCCUGAAAUGACUUUCAAAUUCCAAAAUCCACAUUAUCAUGCAUAUCAACAUGAUUCUCCAAUCAUGAUUGAGAAGAUUGUUAAAAAUGAGGAACAAGAGGAAAUAGCUAGGAAAGUAAGAAGCUUGAAGCAGAGUAUGAGAAGUAUGCAAGGAUUAGGUGGACCAAAAAUUGUUUCAUACAAAGAUUUAUGUAUGUUUUCGGACGUCCAUUUUCUUCUAGGGUUCAAAAUGCCAAAGUUUGAGAAAUACGAAGGUCAUGGCGAUCCUGUAGCCCAUUUGAAGAAGUUCUGCAAUCAAUUAAGAGGAGUAGGAGGAAAAGAAGAACUAUUGAUGGCUUACUUUGGAGAAAUCCUAACAAGAAUAGCUUCUGAAUGGUUUAUUGACCAAGACAUUUCUCGUUGGCACGUAUGGGAUGACAUGGCUCGAGAUUUUGUUCAAUAAUUUCAAUAUAACAUUGAGAUAAUGCCAAAUCGCACUACGCUUGCUAACAUGAGAAAAAAGAUGACUGAAAAUUUUUGAGAAUAUGCUAUCAGAUGGAGAGAGCAGGCUUCAAGAGUCAGUCCAUCGAUAAAAGAAUCUGAAAUUAUCGAUAUCUUUUUGCAAGCUCAAGAACCCAAUUAUUUCCAUCACUUAAUUUCUACUAUUGGAAGCACAUUUACUGAAGUUAUUAAGGUUGGAGAUAUGGUAGAGAAUGGAAUAAAGUCAUGAAAUUUUAUCAGCCAGGCCGCUUUGAAAGCAACAACGCAGGCAAUUCAAAGUGUUGCCGGAAGUUUCGGGGGGAAGAAAAGAAAAGAGGACGUAGCAACUAUCGUACCAGGUCCACGACAAAAUUGGAGAGGUGCGCGUCAACCAUAUGCAUAAAAUACAUUAUAUUUCAUUCAAUCCCCCUAAUAUCCUAUUUCCAAUGCACAACCAUAUGCUCAGGAUCCUUCUUACCCGCAAUGGCAUGCACCAGCUAUCCAAAAUCAUCCACUGAUCCCGCAAAUUCAAAGAGGACCUCCUAGAUCUAAUUUUAGACCUAGAGUAGAAUACAAAAGGGAUAACAUGGGCAAAGAUAAUUUCACUCCUAUUGGAAUAUCUUACACCAGUUUAUUUCCUAGACUGAAAAAAAUAAAUGUUCUAAACCCAAUUGAGAGAAGAAUCCAAAACCCUUCUCCGAAGAACUUGGACUAUUCUAGAAGAUGUGAAUAUUGUUCUGAUGCCCUAGGGCAUGACACAGAGAGAUGUUGGUAUCUGAAAAGAGCUAGUCAAGGACUGAUUGACACCCAACUGAUCAUGGUACAAAGUACAGACGCUCCAAAUAUCAAUCAAAAUCCACUGCCAAAUCAUAAUAAAGUAAACAUGCUCGAAGUGAUACCCAGUGGUAAAGAUGCUGUAAUAUCCUUCAAGCCGAUCAUUAAAAUUAAAACUGAUGCGGAAAAAUCAACAAAUGAUAUAGACUUGACAAAAGAAAAACCUGUAGAAGCAGAGGUGGUGAUAUUAAAACUCGAAUCAUCGAAUGUUCCCUUGGUGAUGGAGCAAGAUAUUUCAAAAAAUGAUGGGUCAAGUCAAGUAAAGCCAAAACUCAUUGUUCCUAGAAGAUCCCCUAAGCCUCUCAUAAUCAUAAAAGGAGCUUCCGUACCUCCCAUUAUUAUUAAACCAGUGUCACAGUUGCCUAUGGUUAAUACUAAGGCAAUCCCUUGGAACUAUGAUCGCAUUGUGGUGAUGCACAAGGGGAAGGAAGUGAUUGAAGAUGUGGAUGAAGUAGGGGGAUUAACUCGAUUUGGAAGAUGUUAUGCCCCAGUAGAGUUAAGAAAGAAUAAACAAGGCAAUGAAGAACGAAUGACGGUCAAGAAGCUUGUUACUGACGAAGAAGCUGAAGAAUUCUUAAAGAAAAUGAAAUUGCCAGAAUAUUCUGUUGUAGAAUAGUUGAAGAAGAAACCAACACAAUUUUCUUUGUUGUCUUUAUUAAUACAUUCAGAAGAACACCGUAAGGCUAUAAUGAAGAUUCUUAACGAAGCAUGUGUUCCCAGUGAGAUUAAAGUGAAUCAGCUGGAAAAAGUUAUUGAAAGAAUCCUUGAAGCAAAUAAGAUUACUUUCUCAGAUGAUGAAUUGCCUGUGGAAGGUACUAGACAUAAUAAAGGUCUCUACAUUACUGUGAAAUAUGAGCAUUCCAUCGUCACUCGAGUGUUAAUUGAUGGAGGAUCAGGCGCUAACAUUUGUUCGAUGUCAACUUUACAAAAUUUAAAUGUAAAUAUAGAAAGAAUCUGACCUAACAAUGUAUGCAUCAAAGGUUUUGACUGAUCAAAAAUCGAUACCAUUGGUGAAAUAAAACUCAUUUUGACAAUCGGGCCUGUGGAUUUUGCUAUGGAUUUCCAAGUGCUGAACAUUGAUGCUUCAUAUAAUAUGUUAUUGGGAAGGCCAUGGAUUCAUAGGGCUAAAGCAGUCGCAUCAACAUUGCACCAAAUGGUCAAAUUUGAACAUAACAAACAAGAGAUAGUUGUUUAUGGUGAAGGAGACUUAUCCAUGUAUAAAGACUACCCCGUUUCCUUCAUCGAAGUAGAUACUGCAAACAGAGUAUUAAUUCAUUAACCUUUUGAGGUAGUGGCUGUUGAGCAUAUCCUCAAGGGAAAUCUCAUCGCAAGACCACAAUUAUCCUCUACAUCUGUUAUGGUAGUGAAUGAAAUGUUGAAGCAUGGUUUCGAACCAGGGAAAGGUCUAGGAUUGUUUCUGCAAGGCAGGGUUAAUCCAGUAAACCUCCAUGAGAACUUUAGUACUUUUGGUUUGGGAUACGUGCCCACUGCUGAAGAUAUAAAAAAGAAAGAGUCAUGGACACUUACCAAGCCGAUACCGCCACUUCACGAAUCCUUCAUCAAAGUCAGCAUUGUCGAGUCCUCUAUGUUACCUGCAACAGAGUCAGUGAAUGAUGAUGAUACAGAGUUGAUUGGAAUUUUCCAGAAUAUGUUCAUUGAAGCUGAUAUGGUUGAAAUUAGGGAAGGUACCAGCAAUGCAGAUGUGCAGUUUAUCGGCCCUGAUGUCCAGCUUAACAAUUGGGGGGCCACUCCUCUCCCUACUAUGAAAGAGUCUUGGUAGUUUGUUUGUUUUUCUUUUAGUCUUGGUAGCUCAUUUUUCUUUUCAUAAUUUGAAUAAUUUUAGUAUUGUAAUUCAGAUCUUUACCUUGUUAUUUUAGGUUAAAAUUCUUUCUAGCUUUGUUUUUAAUAAAGUGCAGUCUCCCUUUAUUUUAUUUUGAGUCUGAUAUUUAUUUCUUUCUUUCUUUAUUUUCUAUCAUACAAUUCUUUCUAUGCUGAUUCUAAUGAUAUGACAUGCAUGAAGAGUUGUCAACCAGAUUUAAAAACCCAAUCUAAUAAUGAAAUAAUGAAUAAAGAAGUUGAAUAUGAUGAAGAAGAAGCAUUAGAAGAUAUAAGCAAAGAUUUUAAACAGUUUGAGAAAAAAUCAAACCCCAAUUUAGAGGAAACUGAAGCGAUCAAUUUAGGAGAUCAUGAAAAUAUUAGGGAGACUAAGAUAAGUGUACAUGCUCAACCACAAUAAAAGAAAGCUAUAAUUGAAGCUUUGCUUAAGUAUAAAGACAUCUUUGCGUGGUCAUAUGAUGAUAUGCCCGGUUUGAGCACCGAUUUGGUAGUUCAUAAAUUGCCAAUUGAUCCUACUUUCCCACCUGUUAAGCAAAAGCUAAGGAAGCUUAAAACCGACAUGAGUGUAAAAAUCAAAGAGGAGAUCUAAGACAUUAUUUAUCACGUCAUGGGGGACAUAUUGUUAUCGAGUUAUGUCGUUCGGACUAAAGAAUGCUGGGGAAACUUAUAUGAGGGCAAUGACUACAAUGUUUCACGACAUGAUGCACAAGGAGAUUGAAGUUUAUGUUGACAAAGUGAUCAUUAAAUCCAGAGAGCAGUUUGACCAUGUCAAAGAUCUUAGAAAAUUCUUUGAAAGGCUUCGAAGGUAUGAUCUCAAACUUAACCCAACAAAACGUGUAUUUGGAGUCCUGUUAGGAAAGCUUUUGGAUUUUAUAGUCAGUCGGCGUGGCAUUGAGUUAGAUCCUUCAAAAAUAAAAGCUAUUCAAGAUUUGCCUCCACCAAAGAAUAAAAUAGAGGUGAUGAUAUUACUUGGAAGGUUGAAUUAUAUCAGUAGAUUCAUUGCUCAGCUUAUGACAACCUGCGGGCCAAUAUUCAAGUUGUUGAAGAAGAAUGCUAAAGUUGAAUGGACAAAAGAAUGUCAAGAGAUAUUUGACAAAAUUAAGAGGUACUUGUCGAAUCCGCCUAUUUUAGUUCCUCCAGAGCCAGGUAGACCCUUGAUAUUGUACAUGUCUGUGUUAGACAAUUCUUUUGGCUGUGUAUUGGGUCAACAUGAUGUCACUGGCAGAAAAGAACAGGCUAUCUACUACCUUAGCAAAAAGUUUACCACUUAUGAGGCUAAGUACACUCUUCUUGAGAACACGUGUUGCGCCUUAACUUGGGUAGCCCAAAAGCUGAAACAUUACUUGUCAUCUUAUACUACUUAACUCAUCUCUCGUAUGGAUCCUUUAAAGUACAUUUUUCAGAAGUCUAUGCCCACAGGCAGACUCGCGAAAUGGCAGAUGUUACACACAGAGUUUGAUAUUGUCUAUGUGACACGAACUGUAAUGAAAGAUCAAGCUUUAGCGGAUCAUUUGGAUGAAAAUCCUAUUGAUGAGGAGUAUGAACCAUUGAAGACUUAUUUUCCAGAUGAAGAGGUAUUGUAUGUUGAUGAGCUUGUUUCUGACGAUUGUCAUUCAGGCUGAAAAUUAUUCUUUGAUGGAGCUGCUAAUGUAAAAGAAGUGGGGAUAGGAGCAGUUCUUAUUUUUAAAUCAGGACAAUACUAUCCUAUAACAGCCCAACUUUGAUUCUAUUGUACCAAUAAUAUGGCAGAAUACGAAGCUUGCAUUCUGGGUUCGAGAUUAGCUAUUGACAUGGGAAUCCAAGAACUGUUAGUUUUAGGAGACUCAGAUUUGUUAGUCCAUUAAAUCCAAGGAGAUUAGAAGACACGUGAUUCAAAGCUCCUACUAUAUCGAGGUUGUUUGCAAGAUCUAUAUCAACCAUUUGUAUCAGUAAAUUUCAAACACAUUCCCAGAGCUCAUAAUAAGAUUGUUGAUGUUUUGGCGACCUUAUCUUCAAUGCUUCAAUAUCCCGACAAAACUUAUAUUGGCCCUUUGCAUAUACAGAUUCAUGAUUAACAUGCAUAUUUCAAUGUGGUUGAGAAAGAACUUGAUGGGGAGCCGUGGUUCCAUGAUAUUAAAGAAUAUAUUCAGACUAGAAAAUAUCCUAUCCAUGUCAAUGGUAACCAAAAGAGAACUAUUCGACGUUUGUCUAGUGGAUUUUUACUAAGUGGAGAUAUCUUGUAUAAGAGGACUCCUGAUUUGGGACUUUUGAGGUGUGUAGAUGCUAAAGAAGCUUCAAAAAUCAUUACUGAAGUACAUUCUGGGAUUUGUGGACCACACAUGAGUGGAUAUGUUUUGGCAAAAAAAAUACUCCGUGCAGGUUAUUAUUGGCUCACCAUGGAGCGAGAUUUCAUCAAUUUCAUUCGUAAAUAUCAUAAAUGUCAAGUACACGGGGACUUGAUACAUUCCCCUGCAUCUGAGUUGCAUACAAUGACUGCUCCAUGGUCUUUUGUGGCUUGGGAAAUAGACGUAAUUGGACCAAUUGAACCAAACGCUUCGAAUAGACAUAAGUUCAUCUUAGUAGCCAUUGAUUAUUUUACGAAGUAGGUGGAAGUAGCAACUUUCAAGUCAGUGACCAAGAAAGUAAUGGUUGAUUUUAUUCACUCCAACAUCAUUUGUUGGUUCGACAUUCCAAAGAUAAUUAUCACGGAUAAUGCUACGAAUCUCAAUAGCCAUCUGAUGCAAGAAGUGUGCCAGCAAUUUAAGAUCAUGCAUCGGAAUUCAACUCCUUAUCGUCCAAAAGCGAAUGGAAUUGUAGAAGCUGCCAACAAGAACUUAAAGAAAAUACUCCGUAAGAUGGUGCAGGGUUCUCGAUAGUGGCAUGAAAAGUUACCUUUUGCUUUGUUAGGCUAUCGUACUACAGUUUGGACUUCAAUUGGUGCAACUCCUUACUUGUUAGUGUACGAAACUGAAGUAGUUAUACCUGCAGAGAUUGAAAUUUCAUCUCUUCGAGUAGUUGUAGAAGCUAAAAUUGAUGAUGACCAAUGGGUCAAUACUCGUUUGGAGCAAUUAAGAUUGAUUGAUAAAAAAAAGAUUAACAUCAGUAUGUCAUAGACAACUAUCCAGAAGAGAAUGGCACGAGCAUAUAACAAAAAGGUGCGUCACAGACAUUUUGAAGUUGGUUAGUAAGUACUAAGACGCAUCCUACCCCAUCAGAUUGAAGCCAAAAGCAAAUUUUAUCCUAAUUGGCAUGGACCAUUCAUGGUGAAGAAAGUGUUACCUAAUGGCGCGUUAUAUCUGAAUGAUAUAGAAGGCAAAAUGGAAGGAAUGCCCAUCAAUGCUGAUGCUGUUAAAAGAUCUUAUGUAUAAUAUUCAUGUACAAUUACAUUAUGUACGUUUUGUACUUGCAUUUUAAAAGAUUGAAAUGAUGAAGGCAUUUUGUUCUACUAUUCGAAUAAUAUAUCAACCUUUGCUUACCCCUUUUGAGAUUUUAUCUUUCUUCGUACCCCUCUUUUGGAAUCAAAUAUGUGAAAAAAAAAGUUGAAAGAAAAAGAUUGAAAUGAUGAAGGCAUUUUGUUCUACUAUUCGAAUAAUAUAUCAACCUUUGCUUACCCCUUUUGAGAUUUUAUCUUUCUUCGUACCCCUCUUUUGGAAUCAAAUAUGUGAAAAAAAAAGUUGAAAGAAAAUAAAAAAAAUCAAUUAAAAAUUCAAAAUCAAGCAAAAGAAAUUUGCCUGAACUACGUUUGACCUGAUUCUUGCUAUGCCAAGAUACGUGGGCAGCCCUACUUCGGGGUUUGGUCCAUCCAAAAGAAAAUUCAAAUUACCCAGAAUGAAAGAAAACUGGGGCAAAAGUUUAUUUUCUUAAAAAAAAAAUCGAUUCCAAAAGUUGAAUAUUUUACCCAAUGUUGUGUAAAUUUUGAUCCUCAUGUCGACCUAUAUUUCUAACUCAGUACAAAAGCAAAGUUACAACAAAAAAAAAGACCUUCAGAUCAAUCUUUCAGAAUAUCAAGGGUAAACAUGUUAUGGGUGCAUGAUAUUUCAUAUUUUGGGUGUUUACUUAAAAAAAGAAGGGAAAAUUGAUGAAAAAGAGAGAGUCUUAUUGGUGAAAACCCUGUUGGGUACCAUAAGGCGACUGUAAGCUGAGAAAGAAAUGAAAAUGAGAUAGGCUUGUUGGCAAAAACCCAUUGAGGUGCCACUAGCCGAAGGAGAGUAGUUAUCCAGAAGAAACAAGUUCAAGAUUGGCUAAAUUUUAAGCUCAAUAAGUGGACAAAAGUUGUAAUGAUUAGUGUGGGUAAAUCUGGUUGUUUGAUUCAAAAUGCAUGUCAUAAUCAUCAGAAUCGAUUUUCACGUUCAGAUAAGUUUUUCUUUUUGUGUUGAAAAAGAAAUGAUUAUUGUCUUUUUCUUUUUCUUUUAUUUUAAUUUUUGAUUUUUGUGUCCUUGUCAUCAAAAAGAAAAUUUUGUUGUCUUGUAUAUGUUUUUGAGUCAAAUUCACGUCAGGUCAAGUGAGAAAUAACUCCAAAUUUACUACCAACUUCUUCAAUGGUAAAAGCAAGACAAAUGGUCGACAUACAAAGAGAACACUUCAAAGUAUAAUGAAGUACUCAGAAUGAUCGUGAUUUGAUAAUUUUUGGCUCAUUGAAAGGUAAAAGGUGUAUGAAAAAUUAAAUCCUGAGAUAUUAUACAAGAGAAAUAUGUCUUAAGUUGAGAGUAUCAGUAGUCAGAAUUUUGGGUCAGAAGUAUGACAAGUCAAUGGAUAUCAAUUUAGGAAUGAAAAGAAGUUGAGCAUGAAAAGUGCAAGAACAGUCAGUUCAAGAGCCAAAUACCACAAACCAACCACAAUGUGUUUUUAAAACUCACAAUUUGUCUUUGUUUUGUUUGAAAAAGAAAGUUUUCAAAUAAAGGAUGCAAUUUCAUACUUUUGUCUAUGCAACAGUCAUGAUUACAACACACAAUGCCGGAAGUUCAGGAGCCCGCCUGAAGAAAAGGGUGAAGAAGUAACAAGUCAAGAGCCCGCCUGAAGAACAGGGUAAGAAAAGAGAAAGCCCAAGAGUCCGCCUGAAGAAUAGGAUGAAGAAAUUGUACGUCCAGGAGCCCGCCUGAAGAAUAGGGUGAAGAAAUUGUAAAUCCAGGAGACUGCCUAAAGAACAGGGUGAAGAAAAAAUGGAAGUUCAGGAGCCCGCCUGAAGAACAGGGUGAAGAAAAAAAGAAGUCCAGAAGCCCGCCUGAAGAACAGGGUGAAGAAAAAAAGAAGUCCAGAAGCCCGCCUGAAGAACAGGGUGAAGAAAAAUGAAAGUCCAGGAACCCUCCUGAAGAACAGGGUGAAGAAAAGAGAAGGCCGAGGAGCCCGCCUGAAGAGCAGGGUGAAGAAAAGAGAAAGUUCAGGAGCCCGCCUGAAGAACAGGGUGAAGAAAAAAUGAAAUUCCAGGAACCCGCCUGAAGAAUAGGGUGAAGAAAAGAGAAAGUCCAAGAGCCCGCCUAAGAACAAGGUGAAGAAAUUAUAAGUCCAGGGGCCCGCCUAAAGAACAGGGUGAAGAAAUUAUAAGUCCAAAAGCCUGCCUGAUAAAUAAGGUGAAGAAAAAAAGAAGUCCAGGAGCCCGCUUGAAGAAUAGGGUGAAGAAAAAAUUAUAAAUCAAGAGCCCGCCUGAAGAACAGGGUGAAGAAAUUGUAAGUUCAGGAGCCCUCCUGAAGAACAGGGUAAAGAUAUUCUAAGUCCAGGAGCCUGCCGGAAGAACAGGGUGAAGAAAAAAGGAAGUCUAGGAGCCUGCCUGAAGAACAGGGUGAAGAAAAAAAGGAAGUCCAGGAGCCCGCCUAAAGAACAAGGUGAAGAAAAUGAAAGUCCAGUAGCCCGCCUAAAGAACAGGGUGAAUAAAAUCAAGUCCAAGAGUCAUCCAGAAGAACAGGGCGAAGGAAAAGCAAGCCAGUAGCCUGCCUAAAGAAUAAGGUGAAUUUUCAAGUUCAAGUCACGAAGAUUAGAAUCAAGAUUCUAGAGAUUGUAAUUUUCAUUUGUAUUUUUCAUUUUUGAUUUUUUGUUAGCCAUUUGAAUGUAAAAGGCAGAAGUCGUUAACUGAAAACUCGACUUAAUAUUAUUCAACUUUUAACUCUUUUUCUCUCCAUAUUACCUUUGAACUAUUCGUGACCUAAUUCCUUAUAACCCGGGAUAGAUAGGAUGUCCAAAAACAGGACUCGGUCACAUUUUUACUUUUAUUUUUAAUUUCAUUUUAUCCUUACCUUUCAAAUAAUUGGAGGGUUAAAAAUCAUAUCUUGUCUACUUUGUAUGAAAACUCUUCGAGAUUCCACACAAAGAGGGGAAAAAAUGUAGACACAUGAUUUUUUAUCUUUCCUAAUUUUAACUCAUUUAUCGAUAUUAAAUAUUUAUAUUUAUAUUUAUAUUUAAUCAUAUAUUAUUUUGAUUCUUAUUUUAUUUUUAAUAAAUUUUUAUUUAAAAAAAUAAAUAAUUAAAUAAAUUUAGCUUUAAGNNNNNNNNNNNNNNNNNNNNNNNNNNNNNNNNNNNNNNNNNNNNNNNNNNNNNNNNNNNNNNNNNNNNNNNNNNNNNNNNNNNNNNNNNNNNNNNNNNNNNNNNNNNNNNNNNNNNNNNNNNNNNNNNNNNNNNNNNNNNNNNNNNNNNNNNNNNNNNNNNNNNNNNNNNNNNNNNNNNNNNNNNNNNNNNNNNNNNNNNNNNNNNNNNNNNNNNNNNNNNNNNNNNNNNNNNNNNNNNNNNNNNNNNNNNNNNNNNNNNNNNNNNNNNNNNNNNNNNNNNNNNNNNNNNNNCCUUAAUCUCUAUAUUUAAUGGUACUUACACUGUUUUCAAAAGGGGAUUCUACGUACAUUCAUUCUCAGACACAUAUAGAUUAUCAGAAAGAGAAAGUUAGAUUGUGAAAAAUAUCAGAUAAAAAGAGAGAAAAGAGGAUGAAGUUGAAUUUGAUUCCGUUUGAGUUUUCAGUGCAGACUGUUUCUCGCUUUAUUUUUCAGUUCAAGUAAUUACAGGUUCUUUUCAAUCUUGAAUCAUUUAUGUUGUAAGUUUAUAGAGGAAAAAAAGUAUGAAUAAAAAUAUCAAGUGAUUUCAUGCUUUAUGAAUGGUUGAUUGAUCAAAAGAAUAUUUGUUAUUAUAUGUUAUGAGAUUAAAAUUAUCGAAUAUUUAUAUAUUUGUACAUGAAAAAGUCUCUAAAUUAAAACUCUGUAUGUUGAUACUAUUAAAUUUAAAAUGGGGACACAAAGGAAAACAGUGAAUCAAAAAAAAUAGAUUCUAUUUCUCACAUGCACACACUGGAACAUGAAUACCUUAUAAACUGCACACAUCACUCACAGAUAUAGCAAUUCACGCGCAUGAAAAUAAAAUACAUGCAUAUAAAAAAUGAGAUUGGAAUAAAAAAUCAACAAAGACAGAAUAGUUGGGAACGGAGAAAAAAUCAGUGAAAACAGAAACGAGAGGGAGAUGAAAAAUUAUUUGAAGGAUAAAAGGAAAAUCAUCAAUCUUUCUCUGAAUUUUUCGGCGAAUUUUCUUGCCGGAAAUACAUCAAAAAAUUCACCAUUGUCUGAAUUCAUUCUAUUUUUGUCAAAAUUUGACCCUUAUAGUUAGUUCUGGCGAACCAACUCGCCGGAAAAACUUCGCCGUCCCUGCGCCGUCACUCCCCUCCCCAGAUCUAGCCGGAAUCUUUUCCAUCGACGAAAAACCGCUGCUGUCGUCCCCUCUCCCAUCCCCAUUCACCGAUGUAACCUAAAACCGGCGUAAUUCCGCCGGUAACCACCCCUGAACCGGCGAAAAAUUACCAGAUCUGCCGUGACUCGUCGAUUUCCUUCCUUUUCCCUUUUCCAGCGAUCUCCAUUGCUGUCAUAAAUAUUGUAAAAAAGUAAAGAAAAAGUUUUUGUUAUUUUUUCUUUUGGAAUACUG